RNAcentral lists this long non-coding RNA (982 nucleotides) under Panax ginseng (ginseng). RNAcentral's name for it is "long non-coding RNA (PGIN_LNC011865)". The record is from RNAcentral. Lineage: Eukaryota; Viridiplantae; Streptophyta; Magnoliopsida; Apiales; Araliaceae.
AUGUUAUCCUGCUUUAACUCCAGAAAUUUCACCUCUCAUACUAGCUGAGAGAUAGUUUUCAAAAAAUAAAGUCUUAAACCUAGCCCAAGUAACUACUCCUUCUCCUGCCCUAGUUUGAUUUGCCUCCCACCAAAAGUUAGCCUCCCUUUUCAUCAUAUAAGUGGCAAAAGCGGUCUUUUGCCCCUCAUCUACCCUGACAAUUGCGAACGCCUUUUCUAUCUCGUUAACCCAUGUCUGGGCUUCUAUAGGGUCAGCUGAUCCCCUAAAUUCUGGUGGUCUUACUACUUUGAAGUCUUUAAAUUUUGCCAAGCGAUUAUCUGGCUGGUUCCCUGUGGCUGGUAUUCCCUACUUCAUAGCCUGAGCUACCAUGUUUGCAAAGUUUUGCAUCGGGUCUUGUUGUUGUCCCUCGGCGUUGUUGAUAGAUUCUUCUACCCUUUGGUUUCGAGUUUGACGUCUUGGCGGCAUUAUCUGGUUAAGUAAAACCAUAAAUUAUACUUUAUUAACUUACAUUCAAAACCUUAUUGCAUAAGUUUAAUAUAUUAAACUUGUUUCAUUUCUCAAACUUAGAUUCAUAUCCAUUCAUCGAAUAGUUUACAUAGCAUAACACAUACUGCUUUAAACAUCAUCUAUCCCUUUGUGACUACAAAAGUCGGGAUUUAUAGCCUUGAUCAAUACAAAAGUUGAGAAUAUUACAUUACACAGAUAUACUUAGAUAUUACAUUAAACAUACCUACUCAACAGAACAUAUACUACCUAUUUACUACACCUUUUCCUUAGACAACCUUUCUCCUGAUGAUCUUCUAUCCCACAGAUAAAACAUGCUCCUGGUUUAUAGUUAGGACAAUACAGAGUGGUAUGUCCCUUAUAACUGCAAAGAUAACAUAUUCUUUUCCCUUUCUUUUUAUCGAGUUUUCCUAUGUCAUGGUCUUCUAUCUUUCUUUUUCCCUUCUUGCUCGGAGCUGCACACGAUGUGUUUCUUGAG